UACGGGGGGGGCAAGCGUUGUUCGGAAUUACUGGGCGUAAAGCGCACGUAGGUGGUUUGUUAAGCCAGCUGUGAAAUCCCCGGGCUCAACCUGGGAACUGCGUCUGAUACUGGAUGGCUUGAAUCCGGGAGAGGGAUGCAGAAUUCCAGGUGUAGCGGUGAAAUGCGUAGAUAUCUGGAGGAAUACCGGUGGCGAAGGCGGCAUCCUGGACCGGCAUUGACGCUGAGGAGCGAAAGCCAGGGGAGCAAACGGG
This 253-nucleotide ribosomal RNA is filed under the name uncultured bacterium. RNAcentral's name for it is "partial 16S ribosomal RNA". It matches the Rfam family "Bacterial small subunit ribosomal RNA", at positions 524 to 776 of the family's 1533-position model. The record is from RNAcentral.